CUCAAGCUAGGGUUGGCUGAUGCCCACUCUCUACCCUCCCCUGUUCUAUGAGAGGGGGGAAGGUCUGUCCAGCUCAAAACUGCAGCUAGACCAUUCUAUCAUUCCUCUCCUGCCUCAUGAUCUAACCCAGAUAAUUGCUCUGGUCUGGAAGAAACCCUUGAACAACAAGGAUGAUCUCUCUAGUUUUGUAGCUCCCAGAGUUGUAGAACAGAUAUAAUCUCUCAUUCCCUGGACAAGUCAAGAGCUCUGGGGAAGGGACAACAGCUUUAUCAUCAUGUGACUGCAAAGAGAGGACAUGUUGGCAAGGUGUUGCCGCUGCCUCUGUCUAUUAUAACCCAGUCUCCUCGGCUUUCUCUCACUGCAACGUGGAUGGAUUGAGAAUGGAACUUGCAAGGUUUCUAUGGCAACAGUACAUGGAAAGGCCUGAGAGCAUUCCAUCUGGAAAGUAGAGAGGAGCCUUAUAAAGUACCAUCCCCAAAGGAAAAGCAAGUGAGGAUGCCCCUGUUGAGGCUACAAACCAGCUGACCACAACUACUCAAGGUUGAAGCACCUGAGACUUCCUUGAAGGGGACCACCGAUUUCAAUUAUCUGCCCACCUGGUGGCUGCAGCUUGACCCCGAUUAGUGGCUAUCAUCUGAUCCCCACUGGACAGACACCAGCAUCCAUAGCUUCCCUUGUUGACUUGGUUUAGAGCUGCUCUUCCACUGCAGGCCAAGAAGUGCCCGGGCUUUAAACUCAGUUCCUUUUUCAUCCCUCCAGCCCAUCAAAGUCAGAAGGAGUCUCUGCUGCCCAAUUUUCCUAAUGGGGUGGUUCAGAAAACUCCCAUCUUCUGGGGCUCCCCACCCACUGCCCCAAGGAGAUCAAGAUUAAUACCUCUUGGAGAGAUGUAUCCUGACUGCCCAACCCCUGGAGAUUAACUGGUCCCUACGUGGCCCAGAGCCUGUUUG
This is a long non-coding RNA of Ornithorhynchus anatinus (platypus), 947 nucleotides long. RefSeq lists it as uncharacterized. The transcript has 3 exons. The record is from RefSeq and is a predicted model, not a curated record. NCBI's taxonomy places the organism in Eukaryota, Metazoa, Chordata, Mammalia, Monotremata, Ornithorhynchidae.